Molecule: transfer RNA, 72 nt
Filed under: Loxodonta africana (African savanna elephant)
Lineage: Eukaryota; Metazoa; Chordata; Mammalia; Proboscidea; Elephantidae
Rfam family: tRNA
About the family: Transfer RNA (tRNA) molecules are approximately 80 nucleotides in length. Their secondary structure includes four short double-helical elements and three loops (D, anti-codon, and T loops).
Source: Rfam by way of RNAcentral
GCAUUGUUGGUUCAUUGGUAGAAUUCUUGUCUUCCAUGCAGGAGAUCCUAGUUCAAUUCCUGGUCAUGUGCA